This 2909-nucleotide ribosomal RNA is filed under the name Salmonella enterica subsp. enterica serovar Weltevreden. Its description in RNAcentral is "bacterial LSU rRNA". It matches the Rfam family "Bacterial large subunit ribosomal RNA". Lineage: Bacteria; Pseudomonadati; Pseudomonadota; Gammaproteobacteria; Enterobacterales; Enterobacteriaceae. The record is from RNAcentral.
UUAAGCGACUAAGCGUACACGGUGGAUGCCCUGGCAGUCAGAGGCGAUGAAGGGCGUGCUAAUCUGCGAUAAGCGCCGGUAAGGUGAUAUGAACCGUUAUAACCGGCGAUACCCGAAUGGGGAAACCCAGUGUGAUUCGUCACACUAUCAUUAACUGAAUCCAUAGGUUAAUGAGGCGAACCGGGGGAACUGAAACAUCUAAGUACCCCGAGGAAAAGAAAUCAACCGAGAUUCCCCCAGUAGCGGCGAGCGAACGGGGAGGAGCCCAGAGCCUGAAUCAGCAUGUGUGUUAGUGGAAGCGUCUGGAAAGGCGCGCGAUACAGGGUGACAGCCCCGUACACAAAAGCGCAUGUGCUGUGAGCUCGAUGAGUAGGGCGGGACACGUGGUAUCCUGUCUGAAUAUGGGGGGACCAUCCUCCAAGGCUAAAUACUCCUGACUGACCGAUAGUGAACCAGUACCGUGAGGGAAAGGCGAAAAGAACCCCGGCGAGGGGAGUGAAAAAGAACCUGAAACCGUGUACGUACAAGCAGUGGGAGCCCCACCACCAAAGCNNNNNNNNNNNNNNNNNNNNNNNNNNNNNNGCUUUGGGGUGGGGUGACUGCGUACCUUUUGUAUAAUGGGUCAGCGACUUAUAUUCUGUAGCAAGGUUAACCGAAUAGGGGAGCCGGAGGGAAACCGAGUCUUAAUUGGGCGUUAAGUUGCAGGGUAUAGACCCGAAACCCGGUGAUCUAGCCAUGGGCAGGUUGAAGGUUGGGUAACACUAACUGGAGGACCGAACCGACUAAUGUUGAAAAAUUAGCGGAUGACCUGUGGCUGGGGGUGAAAGGCCAAUCAAACCGGGAGAUAGCUGGUUCUCCCCGAAAGCUAUUUAGGUAGCGCCUCGUGAAUUCAUCUCCGGGGGUAGAGCACUGUUUCGGCUAGGGGGCCAUCCCGGCUUACCAACCCGAUGCAAACUGCGAAUACCGGAGAAUGUUAUCACGGGAGACACACGGCGGGUGCUAACGUCCGUCGUGAAGAGGGAAACAACCCAGACCGCCAGCUAAGGUCCCAAAGUCAUGGUUAAGUGGGAAACGAUGUGGGAAGGCCCAGACAGCCAGGAUGUUGGCUUAGAAGCAGCCAUCAUUUAAAGAAAGCGUAAUAGCUCACUGGUCGAGUCGGCCUGCGCGGAAGAUGUAACGGGGCUAAACCAUGCACCGAAGCUGCGGCAGCGACGCUUAUGCGUUGUUGGGUAGGGGAGCGUUCUGUAAGCCUGUGAAGGUGGCCUGUGAGGGUUGCUGGAGGUAUCAGAAGUGCGAAUGCUGACAUAAGUAACGAUAAAGCGGGUGAAAAGCCCGCUCGCCGGAAGACCAAGGGUUCCUGUCCAACGUUAAUCGGGGCAGGGUGAGUCGACCCCUAAGGCGAGGCCGAAAGGCGUAGUCGAUGGGAAACGGGUUAAUAUUCCCGUACUUGGUGUUACUGCGAAGGGGGGACGGAGAAGGCUAUGUUGGCCGGGCGACGGUUGUCCCGGUUUAAGCGUGUAGGUGUGUGUUCCAGGUAAAUCCGGUUCACUUUAACACUGAGGCGUGAUGACGAGGCACUACGGUGCUGAAGCAACAAAUGCCCUGCUUCCAGGAAAAGCCUCUAAGCAUCAGGUAACAUCAAAUCGUACCCCAAACCGACACAGGUGGUCAGGUAGAGAAUACCAAGGCGCUUGAGAGAACUCGGGUGAAGGAACUAGGCAAAAUGGUGCCGUAACUUCGGGAGAAGGCACGCUGACACGUAGGUGAAGUGAUUUACUCAUGGAGCUGAAGUCAGUCGAAGAUACCAGCUGGCUGCAACUGUUUAUUAAAAACACAGCACUGUGCAAACACGAAAGUGGACGUAUACGGUGUGACGCCUGCCCGGUGCCGGAAGGUUAAUUGAUGGGGUCAGCGCAAGCGAAGCUCCUGAUCGAAGCCCCGGUAAACGGCGGCCGUAACUAUAACGGUCCUAAGGUAGCGAAAUUCCUUGUCGGGUAAGUUCCGACCUGCACGAAUGGCGUAAUGAUGGCCAGGCUGUCUCCACCCGAGACUCAGUGAAAUUGAACUCGCUGUGAAGAUGCAGUGUACCCGCGGCAAGACGGAAAGACCCCGUGAACCUUUACUAUAGCUUGACACUGAACAUUGAGCCUUGAUGUGUAGGAUAGGUGGGAGGCUUUGAAGCGUGGACGCCAGUCUGCGUGGAGCCGACCUUGAAAUACCACCCUUUAAUGUUUGAUGUUCUAACGUGGACCCGUGAUCCGGGUUGCGGACAGUGUCUGGUGGGUAGUUUGACUGGGGCGGUCUCCUCCUAAAGAGUAACGGAGGAGCACGAAGGUUGGCUAAUCCUGGUCGGACAUCAGGAGGUUAGUGCAAUGGCAUAAGCCAGCUUGACUGCGAGCGUGACGGCGCGAGCAGGUGCGAAAGCAGGUCAUAGUGAUCCGGUGGUUCUGAAUGGAAGGGCCAUCGCUCAACGGAUAAAAGGUACUCCGGGGAUAACAGGCUGAUACCGCCCAAGAGUUCAUAUCGACGGCGGUGUUUGGCACCUCGAUGUCGGCUCAUCACAUCCUGGGGCUGAAGUAGGUCCCAAGGGUAUGGCUGUUCGCCAUUUAAAGUGGUACGCGAGCUGGGUUUAGAACGUCGUGAGACAGUUCGGUCCCUAUCUGCCGUGGGCGCUGGAGAACUGAGGGGGGCUGCUCCUAGUACGAGAGGACCGGAGUGGACGCAUCACUGGUGUUCGGGUUGUCAUGCCAAUGGCACUGCCCGGUAGCUAAAUGCGGAAGAGAUAAGUGCUGAAAGCAUCUAAGNGUCUCCUGAAGGAACGUUGAAGACGACGACGUUGAUAGGCCGGGUGUGUAAGCGCAGCGAUGCGUUGAGCUAACCGGUACUAAUGAACCGUGAGGCUUAACCUU